AUCCAGCUGACGAGUCCAAAAUCGGACGAAACACUCGUCCUGGAU
Molecule: non-coding RNA, 45 nt
Filed under: Schistosoma haematobium
Lineage: Eukaryota; Metazoa; Platyhelminthes; Trematoda; Strigeidida; Schistosomatidae
Source: RNAcentral